GUCUAUGGCCAUGAUACCCUGAACAAGCCCGAUCCCAUCUGAUAUCAGAAGCUAAGCAGGGUCGGGCCUGGUUAGCACUUGGAUGGGAGACCACCUAGGAUGAUCAGGUACUGUAGGCG
This 119-nucleotide ribosomal RNA is filed under the name Pteropus alecto (black flying fox). Lineage: Eukaryota; Metazoa; Chordata; Mammalia; Chiroptera; Pteropodidae. The record is from RNAcentral.